This 660-nucleotide ribosomal RNA is filed under the name uncultured bacterium. RNAcentral describes it as "bacterial SSU rRNA". It matches the Rfam family "Bacterial small subunit ribosomal RNA", at positions 94 to 788 of the family's 1533-position model. The record is from RNAcentral.
AGUGGCGGACGGGUGAGUAACGCGUGAGAAUCUGCCUUGGGGUCGGGAACAACCACUGGAAACGGUGGCUAAUACCGGAUAAGCCGAUUGGUGAAAGAUUUAUUGCCCGAAGAGGAGCUCGCGUCUGAUUAGCUAGUUGGUGAGGUAAGAGCUCACCAAGGCAGCGAUCAGUAGCUGGUCUGAGAGGACGAUCAGCCACACUGGGACUGAGACACGGCCCAGACUCCUACGGGAGGCAGCAGUGGGGAAUUUUCCGCAAUGGGCGAAAGCCUGACGGAGCAAGACCGCGUGAGGGAGGAAGGCUCUUGGGUUGUAAACCUCUUUUCUCAGGGAAGAAGCUCUGACGGUACCUGAGGAAUCAGCCUCGGCUAACUCCGUGCCAGCAGCCGCGGUAAUACGGAGGAGGCAAGCGUUAUCCGGAAUUAUUGGGCGUAAAGCGUCCGCAGGUGGCGAUUCAAGUCUGCUGUCAAAGCACGGGGCUUAACUCCGUAAAGGCAGUGGAAACUGAAUAGCUAGAGUGCCGUAGGGGUAGAGGGAAUUCCCGGUGUAGCGGUGAAAUGCGUAGAGAUCGGGAAGAACAUCGGUGGCGAAAGCGCUCUACUGGACGGCAACUGACACUCAGGGACGAAAGCUAGGGGAGCGAAUGGGAUUAGAUACCCC